This 426-nucleotide ribosomal RNA is filed under the name uncultured bacterium. Its description in RNAcentral is "bacterial SSU rRNA". It matches the Rfam family "Bacterial small subunit ribosomal RNA", at positions 355 to 773 of the family's 1533-position model. The record is from RNAcentral.
UGGGGAAUAUUGGACAAUGGGCGCAAGCCUGAUCCAGCCAUGCCGCGUGUGUGAAGAAGGCCUUCGGGUUGUAAAGCACUUUUGUCCGGAAAGAAAAGCAUUCGGUUACUACCCGGGUGUGAUGACGGUACCGGAAGAAUAAGCACCGGCUAACUUCGUGCCAGCAGCCGCGGUAAUACGAAGGGUGCAAGCGUUACUCGGAAUUACUGGGCGUAAAGCGUGCGUAGGUGGUUCGUUAAGUCUGUCGUGAAAGCCCCGGGCUCAACCUGGGAAUGGCGAUGGAUACUGGCGGGCUAGAGUGCGGUAGAGGAGAGUGGAAUGCCCGGUGUAGCAGUGAAAUGCGUAGAGAUCGGGAGGAACAUCAGUUGCGAAGGCGGCUCUCUGGACCAGCACUGACACUGAGGCACGAAAGCGUGGGGAGCAAAC